This is an RNA transcript of Oncorhynchus tshawytscha (Chinook salmon), 1452 nucleotides long. It is a transcript of the gene named voltage-dependent calcium channel subunit alpha-2/delta-2-like, with no coding region annotated. The record is from RefSeq and is a predicted model, not a curated record. The transcript is spliced from 5 exons. NCBI's taxonomy places the organism in Eukaryota, Metazoa, Chordata, Actinopteri, Salmoniformes, Salmonidae.
CUGCAUUUAAAUGUGUUUGGCUAAGGUGUGUGUAAACUUCCGACUUCAACUGUAUAUCUGUUUUGUUUUGCUCUCUACCAGGAGUGGAACAUGACGUAUUAUGAUUCCAAGGCAGAGCUAGACUCAGUACUCCCUGCAAGAUGGUGAUGGGGAAACAGUGAACCCUCCACUACAGGUGGAGUUUGUGUAUGACCCUAACUUCAAAAUAAGGUCAACUACUCCUUCACAGCCGUUCAGAUCCCCACAGACAUCUACAAAGGAGGGAGCUCCUGCCCAUGUCAAGCAAUGGAUAACAGAAAUGUUGUAGAGGUGGGAUUAUGCGCUUAGGAGACUGCAACACUACCGCCACACCAUGACAGGAGUGGCAGUGUGAGCGGCCUCACUUUGAAGCUGAUCAAGUCAUCAGUGAUGGAGAUGCUGGACACUCUGUCUGAUGACGACUAUGUCAACGUGGCCAGGUUUAAUGAAAAGGCAGAGGCAGUGGUCCCUUGCUUCAAACACCUGGUCCAGGCCAACGUUCGCAACAAGAAGAUCUUCAAAGAGGCUGUAAAGCUCAUGCAAGCUAAAGGCACCACAGACUACAAGUCUGGUUUCCACUUUGCCUUCAAUCAGCUACUAAACGUGAAUGACUUAAAGCUCAACACUCUGAACGACCGCAUUCUGUACGAGUGAUGCCCAAUUCUUUAGGGCUUCUACUAUUAAAUAGACAAGGACAUUUUCCAAAGAAACUGUGUGUGCUUGCUAUUUUGUUCUUUGAGCAAACACAUGAAGGACAGUUCAUUACAGAUAACAGGACAACCAGCAGAACAUUUAAGAGUGGCUCUCAAUGACUCCGCGAUGCAUCGUGCCUAAGAACAGCCCUUAGCCGUGGUAUAUUGGCCAUAUACCACACGCCCUCUUGCCUUAUUGCUUAAAUAUACUUUACAGUUACAGUAUCAACCUUGCCUUCCUCUAAAUCACCCUGUGCGUUAGUUAACAUAUGUGCACCUGGGGAUAAGAAAAGGCUGAGCAUAUAAUGCCGUUCGAUUGCAAACAGCAGUAACUACACAUUUGGUCAAAAUUUAGACCGAAAUCAGACUCUCUUUUUAUCCCCCUCCAACUCUCUCUGCUCUCCCUCUAGGUUUCUAUUUUGAGAUCAGCGCCAUCUGUGCCAUAAGGAUUAACACUAGUGCCUCUUACACAGCUGAUCCUGGGUCAGCCAGUUCUCCUGGCACUGCUUCCUGGAAUUGUUGUUUACCGGACACUGACUAAUCCAUAUCCUGGCCAUCUGCCCAAGAUUGUUGAACAACUUUCUGGAAGCCCAUUUUCUCUAGAGUAGCUACUAACCACACGUCUUGUCUGGGGAAGAGGUUCCAGUGGGCAAGUUCGUUUUGCGCAGUGGUUGAAAAAUUAGGCUACUCAAUUUUUAUACAUGAGUAAAAGUAAAGAUCCCUUGAUAAAAAAUGACUAAAG